This 497-nucleotide ribosomal RNA is filed under the name uncultured bacterium. RNAcentral describes it as "partial 16S ribosomal RNA". It matches the Rfam family "Bacterial small subunit ribosomal RNA", at positions 28 to 507 of the family's 1533-position model. The record is from RNAcentral.
GAUGAACGCUGGCGGCGUGCCUAAUACAUGCAAGUCGAGCGAACGGACGAGAAGCUUGCUUUUCUGAUGUUAGCGGCGGACGGGUGAGUAACACGUGGAUAACCUACCUAUAAGACUGGGAUAACUUCGGGAAACCGGAGCUAAUACCGGAUAAUAUUUUGAACCGCAUGGUUCAAAAGUGAAAGAAGGUCUUGCUGUCACUUAUAGAUGGAUCCGCGCUGCAUUAGCUAGUUGGUAAGGUAACGGCUUACCAAGGCAACGAUGCAUAGCCGACCUGAGAGGGUGAUCGGCCACACUGGAACUGAGACACGGUCCAGACUCCUACGGGAGGCAGCAGUAGGGAAUCUUCCGCAAUGGGCGAAAGCCUGACGGAGCAACGCCGCGUGAGCGAUGAAGGUCUUCGGAUCGUAAAACUCUGUUAUUAGGGAAGAACAUAUGUGUAAGUAACUGUGCACAUCUUGACGGUACCUAAUCAGAAAGCCACGGCUAACUACGUG